CCUACGGGAGGCAGCAGUGAGGAAUAUUGGUCAAUGGGAGGAAUCCUGAACCAGCCAUGCCGCGUGCAGGACGACGGCUCUACGAGUUGUAAACUGCUUUUGUACCGGGGUAAAAUGCGGUACGAGUAGGGUUUUGAAAGUACGGUACGAAUAAGGAUCGGCUAACUCCGUGCCAGCAGCCGCGGUAAUACGGAGGAUCCGAGCGUUAUCCGGAUUCCUUGGGUUUAAAGGGUGCGUAGGUGGUUUUAUAAGUUAGCGGUGAAAGACCGAUGCUCAACCUCGGGGCGGCCGCUAAUACGGUCGGUCUAGAGCUCGGCUGCAGCAGGCGGAAUGUGUAGUGUCGCGGUGAAAUGCCUAGAUAUUACUCAGAACUCCGAUUGCGAAGGCAGCUUGCUAGGCCGGAUCUGACACUGAUGCACGAAAGCGUGGGUAUCGAACAGGAUUAGAUACCCCAGUAGUC
RNAcentral lists this ribosomal RNA (460 nucleotides) under uncultured bacterium. RNAcentral describes it as "partial 16S ribosomal RNA". It matches the Rfam family "Bacterial small subunit ribosomal RNA", at positions 338 to 795 of the family's 1533-position model. The record is from RNAcentral.